AUCCACAACAGUUAGUAUUAAAGUAACACAUAGUUUAAUGCAUGCAUACAUACAGCUUUGAAAUCGCAUCUCACUUGUUGAAUUUCGGUUGGGGAAAGAGGUGGUCUGGUGGAUAUAUUGCCGUUCAUUUCAAUGUCUACGGGUAUAAAGUGGAAGGUAAAUACCCCUCGUUCGUGUACCUUUCAUAAGAAAAGAGUUGAAACUUGAUGGAAGUUUACUAUACAGAAGAAAGACAUGAUUGUACAUAUUUUUUACCCGUGUCGAUGCGAGUUAGUAUCUACUUUAAUGCAGCUUCUCAUCGUAAUUUUGUGCAGAUUCACCUAAAAACAGGUUUCCCACCCGACCAUGAAAAGGGUAUUGGACUUGUCAAAGCUAUAUGAAAAAGGUCCACAACAAAUCGACAAACUGCUUACGUGUAUCUCAGCACAUGUGCUAAUCCUAUGUACGCGUAUACAUAUGAGUGAAUUGGAUUGUUGAAUUCCAUAUACUGACAAACUGAUGAUGUAAAUUCACAAAUUUUUCAUAAUUUGCAUGCAAACAAUGAAAAAUAGGUAGAUAUGAUUUGAAUUUGGAUUAAAUUGCAGUAGAGCUCAUCAUGAAUAUUUAUACUCUUCUGGCAAUGUGGUUCUAAAGAGUGCAUGCAUUUAUUAUGGCCUGCAGAGCUGAAUGCAUGCAUAAAAACUUUACAUAUGUAAUACGCUGUUGGAUGGAGCACAUAAUAAAAACCUUUACUCGUAGUAUGAAUUUUAGUUUUGCACCAGAUUAUAGAUCGUGCUGUAUUCAUUUACAUUUACAUAGUCGUAAAUAUCUGUCAUUCGACACAAAUAUAUGGUAUAAAUACACUUAAAUCAUACAUUCAUCGAAAUCUUGGGGUUCAGACUUUCUCCAGGGCCAGUCCCAUCCAUAAAACACGUCCCACAAGUCCUCCUCCUCCUCCGCCUCAGUUACAUAGGUUAUCAAAGUGAUAAGCAAAAAUGUAAAGACCCAGAGAAGGAAAAACCUUCGAAAACGGUGACUGAUCACCUCCAUGGCACAGAGGAUAAGAAACGCUCCACAAUAUAUCACGAGGGAGAAGGACAUUGACACACCGAACAUGACAACGUAGCUGUACAAACCUGCAGAUACAUUUAGUUCACAUCAGAAUAAAUUUUAAAUUAAUGUGGGGGUCAUUUUCGAGGGGACAUUACCACGACUCCCGUCCGGAACAACAGAUGCAUUUCUAUCUGACAAUGUUGAUAAGAUUAAAACAAUGAAGAAGGCUGCCCACACGGACGCGCCGAGGAUACCGAUCCGAAAUGGGAAGGGUAUUUUGCUAACUUCUUCUCGGACCAAGGGAGCAAUGCUACAUAACGGCAUGUUUAAUUACAGUGUGUGUUUGCGGUAGGAUACGUGAUGAUAACCUGAUGAUGAGACUGAUAAGACGGUUAAGUCGGAAUUUCUACUUAUUAAGUCAAUUUCCGUCCCUUCUCAACGCUUGACAACAGACAAAAAUGGUACAUGGCAAUCAUUUCUCCAACUCCACAAUUUUAAUUACAAGUCCCUCAUGGAAAAAGUGUGUUUUUGAAUGCAAAGACAACGAAAUUGAAGAAUAUGCAUCACUUUUACGCCGAUCCAUAAAUUUUAUUAGCUGAAGCAAUAUAGAUAAAUGUAAUCUUGCUGUCAUGCAAUUCAGUCCCCGUUAAAGCGGAAUAAGAGAAAAGUGCUUUCAACUGGCUGCCGAAAUAGCUCAGUUGGGAGAGCGUUAGACUGAAGAUCUAAAGGUCCCUGGUUCAAUCCCGGGUUUCGGCAAAUUUUUUUUGCUCAAAUUUCUUAGCACUAAUUUUUGCAUUAACAGAUAAUAAAUUAAUAUUUACCAUUCUAUUUGUGGAGAGCUAUGAACUCAUGCAAAAUAAACUUGAAAAUGUUCUCUUCGUUAUAAAUUAAAAAUUUUGGCUAAAAUAAAUGCAGUUUAAAAUUCUUAUGCAUUCGAAAUAUUAUUUCUAUUCCCCGAGAGGGAGGAGGAGGAUCUUUAUUACUCGUGGUUAAAUUACCUGCAAAAUAUGUCUUGUUACUACAAAUAAAUUACUACACAGGCAAGUUUAACAGAUCACAAUGGAUAA
Folsomia candida is the source of this 2099-nucleotide long non-coding RNA. RefSeq lists it as uncharacterized. The transcript is spliced from 2 exons. Lineage: Eukaryota; Metazoa; Arthropoda; Collembola; Entomobryomorpha; Isotomidae. The record is from RefSeq and is a predicted model, not a curated record.